Molecule: small nuclear RNA, 113 nt
Filed under: Schistosoma haematobium
Lineage: Eukaryota; Metazoa; Platyhelminthes; Trematoda; Strigeidida; Schistosomatidae
Source: RNAcentral
GUCUUCUCAUUGUUCUAUCGAGACAUAUAGUAAAAUUGGAACGAUAUAGAGAAAAUUAGAAUUGACCCCUGCGCAAGGAUGAGACGCAAAAUCGUGAAGCGUUCCAUAUUCUU